Molecule: ribosomal RNA, 464 nt
Filed under: uncultured bacterium
Lineage: Bacteria
Description: partial 16S ribosomal RNA
Rfam family: Bacterial small subunit ribosomal RNA
Source: RNAcentral
CUACGGGAGGCUGCAGUGAGGAAUUUUGCGCAAUGGGGGCAACCCUGACCCAGCCACGCCGCGUGAGCGAAGAAGGCCCUCGGGUCGUAAAGCUCUGUCAAGUGGGAAAAAAAUCUUUUGAUCAAUAGUCACAAGCCUUGACGGUACCACUGGAGGAAGCACCGGCUAACUCCGUGCCAGCAGCCGCGGUAAUACGGAGGGUGCAAGCGUUGUUCGGAUUUACUGGGCGUAAAGAGCGUGUAGGUGGUUUAGCAAGUCAGAUGUGAAAGCCCUGGGCUCAACCCGGGAAGUGCACUUGAAACUGAUUCGCUAGAGUAUGAGAGAGGAGAGUGGAAUUCCUGGUGUAGAGGUGAAAUUCGUAGAGAUCAGGAGGAACACCCGUGGCGAAGGCGAUUCUCUGGACCGAUACUGACGCUGAGACGCGAAAGCGUGGGGAGCAAACAGGAUUAGAUACCCCGGUAGUC